This 90-nucleotide microRNA precursor is filed under the name Mustela putorius furo (domestic ferret). Its description in RNAcentral is "microRNA 19b-2 (ENSMPUG00000021229.1)". It matches the Rfam family "mir-19 microRNA precursor family". From Rfam's summary of the family: The hairpin precursors (represented here) are predicted based on base pairing and cross-species conservation -- their extents are not known. Lineage: Eukaryota; Metazoa; Chordata; Mammalia; Carnivora; Mustelidae. The record is from RNAcentral.
UGCCACUUACGGUUAGUUUUGCAGGUUUGCAUUUCAGCGUCUAUAUGUAUACGGCUGUGCAAAUCCAUGCAAAACUGAUUGUGAUGCUGU